Molecule: non-coding RNA, 71 nt
Organism: Podarcis lilfordi (Lilford's wall lizard)
Lineage: Eukaryota; Metazoa; Chordata; Lepidosauria; Squamata; Lacertidae
Source: the annotation of a GenBank genome assembly
GGAUAGCUCAGAUGGUUAGAGCGCAGUGCUGGUAAUGCCAAGGUUACAGGUUCAAUCCCUGUAUGGAACCA